GAACUCGUGGAGAACAAUCCCCUAAUUGCAGUUGAAGUUCUUACUAAGUUGAUAAAUUCUCCUGAAAUUGCCGACUAUUUUACGGUACUUGUCAAUAUGGACAUGAGUCUGCAUUCAAUGGAAGUCGUUAACAGGCUUACAACAGCAGUUGAACUGCCAAAGGCAUUUGUACGCAUGUACAUAACGAAUUGUAUUUCAUCCUGUGAAAAUAUUAAGGUACUCCACUGCACACAUUGGUAGUUGCUUUAUACCUAUUCAACUGUAGUGAUUGAAGGACUCGAGGAUAGCAAAAGUCAACAAAAAACAGCUUACUAUACUGGUUGUGGUAGUGUUCAUCUUAUGGGUUUAGGAUUACAGGUAAUAAGAAGAGGAUUAGAUUGUGAGAAAGGUAAUUGUUGUGGGCGGAAGAGAGAAUAAAUAGGAAGUUUGGGAAGAGGAAAGUUGCAGAAUUCAGGGGAAGAUUUCCAGGAUUCUUCUCUCUUUUCAAAGGUGCAUCCAAUCACACACAUUGAAGUUAGGAGAGAAUGGUUCUUUUGUUUGUUGAUGGCUUCAAAUUAUUUUCCUAUUGGUUUGUGAUCGUUUGCCCUCUGGAUAAUGUUGAAUUUAUGAUCGAAAUGGGGGAGGGAUUGGCCAUCUAACCUACAUGUUGACUAAAUUAGUAGACUUAUUUGUUGUUUAAGAUUAUACCUGCAAGUAACAACUUCCUCUCCACAAUAUGAAAUGCUCCCAAAAAGUGUUCAUUGAUUUUAUUCUGAAUUAAUAGUUUCCUUCUAGCUAGUUUUUCCUGUCAAACCAUUUCUGGUUGAUGUAAACAUGUUUUAGAUAUAUGUAGCAGUUUUAAAGUUUUAAUCCUACUUUCCAGUGUUGACCAGAAGUCUGUUUUAAUUCACAUUAACUAAAUCUAUGGAUUGAUGGCCAUAAAUUCUUAGCUUUAAUCAACAUUAGAUGAUCAGUAUUUGAUUAUAGUAUUGAAAUUAUAUAAUUUUAUUUGUUGGUCAUAAACAGAUCAUGAUGUAGUAUACUAAUCUCUCCCCUAUUUUACAGGAUAAAUACAUGCAGAACAGGCUUGUCAGACUUGUUUGUGUUUUCCUGCAGAGUUUGAUUCGGAAUAAAAUUAUUGAUGGUCAGUAUGCCUUUCUAUUCUUGUGGUUAGAACUUCUAUACAAGUCAGUUAAAUACAUGAGAUCAUAUGCGUCAACAUGGACAUUCGUCUUUGAGUCCGUAUUGGAAUUUUUUUUCCUUUGCAUGACCUAUAAUAAUCAUUGCCAUAAGAAAAUAAAGAAAACCAUCUCUCUCUCUCUGUAUUCAAUUAUUCACCUUAAUGUAUGCGCAUAUGCCUAUUUGGCGCUACAAGAUGGCAACAAAUUUUGUUUAUUAACUUACCAGUUGAUAUGAUUGAACUGUGUAAUUUGCAUGUAUUUUUUUGUUCCAGUGAGGGGGACAGUUGGGUAAGAACUUGAAUUGACUAUCAGCAUCAAUGUAGAUAUUUGGCUAUUAGGCCAGUGGUCCAAUGACAUGUCCAUAUUAUAUUAGGUGUUGAAAAUUAUGCUAUAUGAACUUGUUUUUGAUUUCUUAUGCUCGUAUUUUGUUUAUCAAUUAUUCUUUCAUUAUAUCAUUUUUUACUGCGUACUUUGUUCAUGUUUUGCCAAUGAUUGUUGGUUUGCAGUUAAGGAUCUCUACAUUGAAGUCCAAGCCUUUUGUAUCGAGUUUUCACGAAUUAGGGAAGCAGCUGGCUUGUUUAGGCUUCUGAAAACCAUGGAGUGAAUGGUCCUUUUCACCCUUUUUUUUUUUUUUUUUUUUUU
This 1802-nucleotide unclassified non-coding RNA is filed under the name Hevea brasiliensis (rubber tree). The record is from RNAcentral. Lineage: Eukaryota; Viridiplantae; Streptophyta; Magnoliopsida; Malpighiales; Euphorbiaceae.